This 19-nucleotide small nuclear RNA is filed under the name Arabidopsis thaliana (thale cress). Its description in RNAcentral is "snRNA_15155". The record is from RNAcentral. Lineage: Eukaryota; Viridiplantae; Streptophyta; Magnoliopsida; Brassicales; Brassicaceae.
UAGGGUCCAGCGGCUGGAA